RNAcentral lists this non-coding RNA (23 nucleotides) under Arabidopsis thaliana (thale cress). The record is from RNAcentral. Lineage: Eukaryota; Viridiplantae; Streptophyta; Magnoliopsida; Brassicales; Brassicaceae.
GAAAACCUAACCAAAGUGCUAGA